RNAcentral lists this ribosomal RNA (357 nucleotides) under Callihormius sp. MAS-2010. Its description in RNAcentral is "partial 28S ribosomal RNA". Lineage: Eukaryota; Metazoa; Arthropoda; Insecta; Hymenoptera; Braconidae. The record is from RNAcentral.
GAGUACGUGAAACCGUUCAGGGGUAAACCUGAGAAACCCAAAAGAUCGAAUGGGGAGAUUCAUCGUCAGCGCACUUUGUAUAUGUAUGAGUUAUGAUGCGNNGGUUACUCUUNNGUAGUAUUGCUNUGCACAUACUUGUGCAUUUAUUUGCAAGGUGUUGUCGGCGUGCACUUCUCCCCUAGUAGGACGUCGCGACCCGUUGGGUGUUGGUCUACGACCCGAGNUGGUAGCCUCUAAUGUUNNUUANNUAAUAUUAGAGACCCUUGGUGUUNUUCUGACCGGCUGCCCGGCGGUACUCGUACGGUAUUUAGCCGCAUNUUUANNNUAUGCGUCCAUAUCCGUCGCAAGCGAGGCUAG